AAUAUUCCUAAUUGUAAGUUGCUCUGGAUAAGAGCAUAUGCUAAAUUACAAAAC
This is a non-coding RNA of Salmo salar (Atlantic salmon), 54 nucleotides long. The record is from Rfam. NCBI's taxonomy places the organism in Eukaryota, Metazoa, Chordata, Actinopteri, Salmoniformes, Salmonidae.